UACGGAAGGGGCAAGCGUUGUUCGGAAUCAUUGGGCGUAAAGGGCGCGUAGGUGGUUCUGUAUGUCUACCGUGAAAGCAUACAGCUGAACUGUAUUUUGUCGGUAGAAACUGCAGGACUUGAGGCUGGGAGGGGCUGGUGGAAUUCCCUGUGUAGCGGUGAAAUGCGUAGAGAUGGGGGAGAACACUCGUGGCGAAGGCGGCCAGCUAGACCAGUUCUGACACUGAGGCGCGACAGCGUGGGGAGCAAACAGG
Molecule: ribosomal RNA, 253 nt
Filed under: uncultured bacterium
Lineage: Bacteria
Description: partial 16S ribosomal RNA
Rfam family: Bacterial small subunit ribosomal RNA
Source: RNAcentral